This 253-nucleotide ribosomal RNA is filed under the name uncultured bacterium. RNAcentral's name for it is "partial 16S ribosomal RNA". It matches the Rfam family "Bacterial small subunit ribosomal RNA", at positions 524 to 776 of the family's 1533-position model. The record is from RNAcentral.
UACGGGGGGGGCAAGCGUUGUUCGGAAUUACUGGGCGUAAAGGGCGCGUAGGCGGGCAGGUAAGUCCGUGGUGAAAUCUCUGAGCUUAACUCAGAAACUGCCAUGGAUACUAUUUGUCUUGAAUAUUGUGGAGGUAAGCGGAAUAUGUCAUGUAGCGGUGAAAUGCUUAGAUAUGACAUAGAACACCAAUUGCGAAGGCAGCUUACUACACAGUUAUUGACGCUGAGGCACGAAAGCGUGGGGAUCAAACAGG